AACGCUAGCUACAGGCUUAACACAUGCAAGUCGAGGGGCAGCAUGGUCUUAGCUUGCUAAGGCCGAUGGCGACCGGCGCACGGGUGAGUAACACGUAUCCAACCUGCCGUCUACUCUUGGACAGCCUUCUGAAAGGAAGAUUAAUACAAGAUGGCAUCAUGAGUCCGCAUGUUCACAUGAUUAAAGGUAUUCCGGUAGACGAUGGGGAUGCGUUCCAUUAGAUAGUAGGCGGGGUAACGGCCCACCUAGUCUUCGAUGGAUAGGGGUUCUGAGAGGAAGGUCCCCCACAUUGGAACUGAGACACGGUCCAAACUCCUACGGGAGGCAGCAGUGAGGAAUAUUGGUCAAUGGGCGAGAGCCUGAACCAGCCAAGUAGCGUGAAGGAUGACUGCCCUAUGGGUUGUAAACUUCUUUUAUAAAGGAAUAAAGUCGGGUAUGGAUACCCGUUUGCAUGUACUUUAUGAAUAAGGAUCGGCUAACUCCGUGCCAGCAGCCGCGGUAAUACAGAGGAUCCGAGCGUUAUCCGGAUUUAUUGGGUUUAAAGGGAGCGUAGAUGGAUGUUUAAGUCAGUUGUGAAAGUUUGCGGCUCAACCGUAAAAUUGCAGUUGAUACUGGAUAUCUUGAGUGCAGUUGAGGCAGGCGGAAUUCGUGGUGUAGCGGUGAAAUGCUUAGAUAUCACGAAGAACUCCGAUUG
Molecule: ribosomal RNA, 694 nt
Filed under: uncultured bacterium
Lineage: Bacteria
Description: bacterial SSU rRNA
Rfam family: Bacterial small subunit ribosomal RNA
Source: RNAcentral